GAGACUCCUACGGGGAGGCAGCAGUGGGGAAUAUUGCACAAUGGAGGAAACUCUGAUGCAGCGACGCCGCGUGAAGGAUGAAGUAUUUCGGUAUGUAAACUUCUAUCAGCAGGGAAGAAAAUGACGGUACCUGACUAAGAAGCCCCGGCUAACUACGUGC
This 160-nucleotide ribosomal RNA is filed under the name uncultured bacterium. RNAcentral's name for it is "partial 16S ribosomal RNA". It matches the Rfam family "Bacterial small subunit ribosomal RNA", at positions 332 to 508 of the family's 1533-position model. The record is from RNAcentral.